Molecule: ribosomal RNA, 311 nt
Filed under: Stichococcus chloranthus
Lineage: Eukaryota; Viridiplantae; Chlorophyta; Trebouxiophyceae; Prasiolales; Stichococcaceae
Description: partial 26S ribosomal RNA
Rfam family: Eukaryotic large subunit ribosomal RNA
Source: RNAcentral
UUUUGACCUGAGAUCAGACAAGACCACCCGCUGAACUUAAGCAUAUCUAUAAGCGGAGGAAAAGAAACUAACCAUGAUUCCCCUAGUAACGGCGAGUGAACGGGAAAAGCCCAACUUGAAAMUCUGCAGCCUUCGGCUGCCGAAUUGUAGUCUAUASAAGCGCUCUCUGUGCCGGAACGGCCCCAAGUUCCCUGGAAARGGACGUCCUASAAGGUKAGAACCCCGUAGGGCUCGGUUUGCSGGCACUCCACGAGACGCUUUCGCMGAAUCSGGUUGUUUGGGAAUGCMCCCUAAACARGUKGUUAAAUCCC